This 450-nucleotide ribosomal RNA is filed under the name uncultured bacterium. Its description in RNAcentral is "partial 16S ribosomal RNA". It matches the Rfam family "Bacterial small subunit ribosomal RNA", at positions 354 to 796 of the family's 1533-position model. The record is from RNAcentral.
GUGGGGAAUCUUCCACAAUGGACGAAAGUCUGAUGGAGCAACGCCGCGUGAGUGAAGAAGGGUUUCGGCUCGUAAAGCUCUGUUGUCGGGGACGAAUGUGCAGUAUUUGAAUAAAGUAGUGUAAUGACGGUACCUGACGAGGAAGCCACGGCUAACUACGUGCCAGCAGCCGCGGUAAUACGUAGGUGGCAAGCGUUGUCCGGAAUUAUUGGGCGUAAAGGGAGCGCAGGCGGGAAGGUAAGUCGGUCUUAAAAGUGCGGGGCUCAACCCCGUGAUGGGAUCGAAACUAUCUUUCUUGAGUGCAGGAGAGGAAAGUGGAAUUCCUAGUGUAGCGGUGAAAUGCGUAGAUAUUAGGAGGAACACCAGUGGCGAAGGCGACUUUCUGGACUGUAACUGACGCUGAGGCUCGAAAGCCAGGGGAGCGAACGGGAUUAGAUACCCGGGUAGUCC